AGGCUACUGCUAUUGGGAUUCGACUAAGCCAUGCGAGUCAAGGUGUCUUCGGACGCCGGCAUACGGCUCAGUAACACGUAGGUAACCUACCCUCAGGACUGAGAUAACCCCGGGAAACUGGGGCUAAUAUUAGAUAGAUAAAAGAUACUGGAAUGUUCUUUUAUCCAAAGCUUUUGCGCCUGAGGAUGGGCCUGCGUCCGAUUAGGUCGUUGGUGGGGUAAUGGCCCACCAAGCCUGCGAUCGGUACGGGCAGUGGAAGCUGAAGCCCGGAGUUGGGGACUGAGACAAGGCCCCAGGCCCUACGGGGCGCAGCAGGCGCGAAACCUCUGCAAUGCGGGAAACCGUGACAGGGGGAUCCCAAGUGCUCAUGCAUUGCAUGGGCUGUUCUUUGGUCUAAGUAACCAGAGGAGUAAGGGCUGGGCAAGACCGGUGCCAGCCGCCGCGGUAACACCGGCGGCUCGAGUGGUAACCGUUAUUAUUGGGUCUAAAGGGUCUGUAGCCGGCCGGAUAAGUCUCUUGAGAAAUCUGGCAGCUUAACUGUCAGGCUUUCAGGAGAUACUGUCUGGCUCGAGGCCGGGAGAGGUGAGAGGUACUUCAGGGGUAGGGGUGAAAUCUUGUAAUCCUUGAAGGACCACCAGUGGCGAAGGCGUCUCACCAGAACGGACCUGACGGCAAGGGACGAAAGCUAGGGGCACGAACCGGAUUAGAUACCCGGGUAGUCCUAGCCGUAAACGAUACUCGCUAGGUGUCGGCCACGGUGCGACCGUUGUCGGUGCCGUAGGGAAGCCGUGAAGCGAGCCACCUGGGAAGUACGGCCGCAAGGCUGAAACUUAAAGGAAUUGGCGGGGGAGCACCACAACGGGUGGAGCUUGCGGUUUAAUUGGAUUCAACGCCGGAAAUCUUACCGGGACCGACAGCAAUAUGAAGGCCAGGCUGAAGACUUUGCCGGAUUAGCUGAGAGGUGGUGCAUGGCCGUCGUCAGUUCGUACUGUGAAGCAUCCUGUUAAGUCAGGCAACGAGCGAGACCCACGCCCACAGUUGCCAGCGUACUCUCUGGAGUGACGGGUACACUGUGGGGACCGCCGCUGCUAAAGCGGAGGAAGGAAUGGGCAACGGUAGGUCAGUAUGCCCCGAAUAUCCCGGGCUACACGCGAGCUACAAUGGUUGGUACAAUGGGUAUCUACCCCGAAAGGGGACGGGAAUCUCCUAAAACCAAUCUUAGUUCGGAUUGAGGGCUGCAACUCGCCCUCAUGAAGCUGGAAUCCGUAGUAAUCGCGUUUCAACAGAACGCGGUGAAUACGUCCCUGCUCCU
This 1312-nucleotide ribosomal RNA is filed under the name uncultured archaeon. Its description in RNAcentral is "bacterial SSU rRNA". It matches the Rfam family "Archaeal small subunit ribosomal RNA", at positions 21 to 1337 of the family's 1478-position model. The record is from RNAcentral.